GAUGAAGAACGUAGCGAAAUGCGAUACGUAAUGUGAGUUGCAGAAUUCAGUGAAUCAUCGAGUCUUUGAACGCACAUUGCGCCCCCUGGUAUUCCGGGGGGCAUGCCUGUCCGAGCGUCAUUGCUGCCCUCAAGCACGGCUUGUGUGUUGGGCCUCCGCCCCCCGGCUCCCGGGGGGCGGGCCCGAAAGGCAGCGGCGGCACCGCGUCCGGUCCUCGAGCGUAUGGGGCUUCGUCACCCGCUCCGUAGGCCCGGCCGGCGCCCGCCGGCGACCCCCCUCAAUCUUUCCAGGUUGACCUCGGAUCAGGUAGGGAUACCCGCUGAACUUAAGCAUAUCAAUAAGCGGAGGA
Molecule: unclassified non-coding RNA, 349 nt
Filed under: soil metagenome
Description: partial contains 5.8S ribosomal RNA, internal transcribed spacer 2, and large subunit ribosomal RNA
Rfam family: 5.8S ribosomal RNA (bases 1-120)
Source: RNAcentral